GAACUAACAGGAAGUUUUAGUUUAGGUAUAAAAGUUUGGACAUUUAAUAGUAGAAUCACUCCUGGUUUGACACAAACACGAAGUCAGAAUGAAACUUGCCAUCACAACUGUUGCUAUCUUGGUCUGCCUUUGUGGCAUGAAGGGAAUCCUUGCUGACGAUUAUUACGGUGGUUCCGGAUAUUCCGGUAGCUACGGUGGAGUCGGUGGAUACACCGGAAGUUACGGUGGUAUCGGAGGAUAUGGUGGAAGCAUGGGUGGAUAUGGCGGAGGCAUGGGUGGAUAUGGCGGACAUGGCGGUUAUUCUGGAUACGGACAAAAGGGAUACUCUGGUUACGGCUCCAAGGGGUACUCCGGUUAUGGUGGAUAUUCUGGUUACGGCCAAAAAGGAUACUCCGGUUAUGGCGGACAUUCUGGUUACGGCAAAAAAGGAUACUCUGGCUAUGGUAAAAAGGGAGGAUAUGUUGACGAAAUAGUUCAGUACGUUCCUCAACCAAUCCCAGUCGCAUCUCCAUUUGCUGGUGGAGCCGGUAUGGCCGGAGUUGGUGGUGUUGGCGGUAUGGAUGGCGGUAUCCUCGGUGGAAACGAAGGACUUGGACUUUUUGGACUUCUGUUCCUUGCCUUCCUUUUGUUCAGAAACAACAACAGCGAUUAAACUUAUAGAUUGAAUUUAGCAAAUAUUUGGUAUAUGUGGCUGACCCUCCAGGAGUCUGUUUACAAAUAAAUGAUUAUAUAUAUAUGCAAAAACAAUUUUAUUUUCUAAUUUGAUAUAACCAAGAGCAACACUUACACUGAGUUUUAAAAUACCAUUGAAAGUGCAUUUUUUUGGUAAAUAAUCUAUAAUACAAUAAUAUAGCAUUAUUGGUCCCUCAUUCUAGAGAUUUUAUUAAACAAUUGUAUGGUC
This is a long non-coding RNA of Mytilus californianus (California mussel), 901 nucleotides long. RefSeq lists it as uncharacterized. The transcript is spliced from 4 exons. NCBI's taxonomy places the organism in Eukaryota, Metazoa, Mollusca, Bivalvia, Mytilida, Mytilidae. The record is from RefSeq and is a predicted model, not a curated record.